This 19-nucleotide transfer RNA is filed under the name Diaphananthe cf. gabonensis MSD-2018. Its description in RNAcentral is "partial tRNA-Leu". Lineage: Eukaryota; Viridiplantae; Streptophyta; Magnoliopsida; Asparagales; Orchidaceae. The record is from RNAcentral.
CUCUAUCCCCAAAUCCCCA